CUACUACUCCGUCCGUCCGGAAAUACUUGUCCUAGAAAUGGAUGUAUCUAGACUUAUUUUAGUUCAAGAUACAUCCAUUGUACAUAUUUUUAGGACAAGUAUUUUCGGAUGGAGGGAAUAUUAA
This is a non-coding RNA of Hordeum vulgare subsp. vulgare (domesticated barley), 124 nucleotides long. Lineage: Eukaryota; Viridiplantae; Streptophyta; Magnoliopsida; Poales; Poaceae. The record is from Rfam.